Molecule: ribosomal RNA, 253 nt
Filed under: uncultured bacterium
Lineage: Bacteria
Description: partial 16S ribosomal RNA
Rfam family: Bacterial small subunit ribosomal RNA
Source: RNAcentral
UACGUAUGGUGCGAGCGUUAUCCGGAUUUACUGGGUGUAAAGGGAGCGCAGGCGGCACGGCAAGCCUGAUGUGAAAGCCCGCGGCCCAACCGCGGGACUGCAUUGGGAACUACCGGGCUGGAGUGCCGGAGAGGUAGGCGGAAUUCCUAGUGUAGCGGUGAAAUGCGUAGAUAUUAGGAGGAACACCAGUGGCGAAGGCGGCCUACUGGACGGUGACUGACGCUGAGGCUCGAAAGCGUGGGGAGCAAACAGG